CGCGAGUGCAAAGAAGCGAGCGAGCGAGAGAAAAAGAAGCGAGCGACCGAGUAGCUGCGUAGCGAUGCCUGUGACCUAACCCGUCUCCCCCAGCGAACCCCGCCUCCUCUCCUGCCGCCGCCGCCGCGCCCCCUUCUUCCCUUCUCCAUGCUCGCCGCUGCCGACGCCGCGUCUGCCAGCCGCCCCGCCUCGAGCCAGCCGCCGUUCGGUAAAAACCUAACCUCCACACCCACGCCCCCACCAGUCCCUCCCUCCUCUUCCUCGACCUCCCUCCUAGCUGCCUCCGCCUCCCCUCCGCGGUCGACCUCCUCGUUGCCGGUGAUGCUCCAGCGCCUUGGCCCGGUCGUCUCUGUCUCUUGCCGUGCUCUCUCAUGCUGCUGUGCCUCCUGGACGACGCUCGCGUGCCUCGGAUGCACCCCCUUCUCUCCCGAGCUCCAGAUCCAUGGCUGCAGCGGCGAGAAAAGGAGUACCACCCCCAACCUCUGAUUGAUCUGGUAUAAUUUAUCAAAUUCCUCCAGAGUACAUUUAGGUUCAAAGCAAAUGUUGUAUAGCUCAAGAUAUUGUUCACUGAACUCUGAAGGAUUUACCAUCCACAGGCACAUCUUCCCAUACUCCAGCUUUAUCACUUUUUCUGCAAAGAGAUCUUGCGCCCAAUCAAAUAAAGUUCUCUAACCUUCAUAAUUGAUUUCCAGCAAGGGGAAUCAGUGACUCUUGUUUUAGUAGUAUUAAUAGUUUUGUUCUUGAAAUAUUUGGCUCUAACAACUUGUUGCCAUAGCCCCUCUUGAGUCUCAAGUUUCUUGCAGAAGGUCACCACAGGCACUGGGGUCGAUGCAAAGCAUCGGCGAUGGUGUCAUUGUCCUCGCGUGAUUCAUCAGAUCCAACCUCACCCCCGCGCCGGCUUUUGACGGAGCUGCUCACCAAGGAGGACCUCGUCGCCUACGUCGCAUCUGAGUGUAAGCCCAAGGAGAACUGGAGAUGAAAUUGCAACACCUGGUACCAAGACCAUGCUGGGAUUUUCUGAUCAUGUUAGGAGCUUUGUCAAUCCUGUAUGGACGACCUCUUUGAGUGGAAAUGAUUCGGAUACAACAUCACGGACAGGAAAACAGUUGGACAUCAGCCAUGAAAAGGUUCGAGGUAUUUCACGGAGUUUCCUACCAGCUAUUCAUCUAGAGCACUAUCCUUGUGAAAAUUUCUCAUUUUCUCCUCCAUCUAUUGAUAGGAGACGCACUCGACAAGGGUGUAAGUAGUCUCACCAGUCCAAUUCAGAGUUACAAGAAAGUUCUAAAUCUGAUAAUUUUAAACUUGUGUAGCAUGUCCUGUUUGUUAUGUGCCUGUUGACCAGGGCCUGGCAUUGAUGCCAGCUGCUCAUCUGUCCGAAGACAAUUUGGUACUCAUAGGUCCAAUAGUGGUUCUUUGUUUCGUGGUUAUCCAUCCCUGGAACAACGAGAUAUGUCUUAUAUGACAUAAAAGACUCGAUGACACUACAUUGUGGGUAUGUCCUUGUAUGACUCAAAUGAUUUAACUCUUGUACAUUUAUAUGAUCACUGUGUGUUGUAUCGCUAACCUUUUCUUUAUAUUAAGAUCUGUGAGGGGGGAAGAUACAUGGUCUCGAUACUGCAUUCGAUGUAGAUGAAGCUGGUCUGUCUGAGAUGCGGCAGUGCCAGGGGACAUUUGCUUCUGCUAUUUUCGGGAACUGCAUCCUCUUUUCUAUGCCAAUUAUAUUUGCAUGUUGUCAUGUUUCCAUGCCGGUGCUAAUUGCACAUCGUGUGUGAACUUUCUUAUUUGUUUUUCUCAGAGAAUUAUGAUAUAAUGCAACGACCAGAAAACAUCAAAACAUUUUCAAAAGAUAUUGUUUGCUUCUUCAUGUUUCUGGAUGAAGAAACUGAAGCUGCAAUAAAGAAGAUCCCUACUGUUGAUAAUACGAAAAGAAUCAGGCUGUGGCGGGUGGUUGUUGUGCACAACCUUUUCCUGACCCAACAACUUUCGUGAAAAUCAGCCUAAAAUCACUGUGCAGUUCAUUGUGAAGAAAAUAAAAAAAAAUACUACUGAACCGACAGAGUUUUGAAGCUGGCUUCGCCGCUGCUGUACUGUACAUUUGGUUAUUUGAUUUUCCUAAUUGAAUCUUUUUGGUGCCAGUUACUUCUGGCAUGGAGAUUGUGCACAAGUUAAAAUUCAGCUUAGCGGGCAAUGUAAACUAAAAUUUAGUUGCAAAAUAUAAUUUUACGCAAUCUUCUAAAAGCAACAUGCGCUCUUAUCUAGAUAGCUGAUCCAACAUGUUUUCAUUCUUUUCUGCAUUGGGUCAGUGUGAAAAGUUUCUUGACUCCACAACCAUCUUUCCGUUCUGUUGAAAGACGAGAGGAGUAUGCCAUGCUUAAUGUGAAUCAGCAUGAGCGAAUUGUUUUCCUAAUCACGUAUUUUCCUUGUGGUAAUUUUUUAAUUGAAAUGCCAUGCUUAAUGCGAAUCAGCAUGAGCGAAUUGUUUUCCUAAUUGUGUAUUUUCCUUGUUAUAAUUUUUUAACUGAAUCCCUUGUGAUAUUUAGGUUCCAAAACUAUUACUUCAUCGGCUCUUUCCUAAUGUGCGGUAUUCACUCUGUAUCGAUGGGAAACUUAAACUUGUGAAGGAUCCUUAUCAGCUGUUAAAGAGAUUCUUGUGGAGGAAAAAUGUGCGCUUCACUAUUUCCAGGUAUUAUAGACGCUUUGAUGUCUUUGAGGAAGCUGAGGCCAACAAGGCUGGAAGUAUGAUAAUGCUUCAAUCGAUAACCAAAUAAAGUUCUACAAGACAGAGGGUUAACCCAUUAUUCAUCAGCUAAGCUCCUUAUUACAAGCUGCAAAUGGUUCUUCUCGCUGAAUUCUGAUAUAGAAAUAUUUCUCCUGAGAACAUAAGGGAUACAUUUAUCUUGAACAGAUUCCCUGAGGGUUGUGUAAUUAUAGGAGAGCACAUACCAUCACCAAUCUCUUCACAUGCCUUUGGUUCUAUGAAGUUGAUCGUUCACCUCAAGAGAUCAGCUAAGCUUUAGCACAACGAGGGAUAAAAUAAGAUCAAGAGUUCUUGUUGACAACUAAAUAAGAUCAGGAGUUGAUUGGACUGCAGACAUGUUCCUGGAUUGUGGAAGGCGUGAAUUUGUUGUUCAGGUAUUUUUUGAGUUAAUGCUUUGUGCGGCACAUCAUUCCAUUUGCAACCUGAAGUACUAUUGCAACUUGGUACCGAGUGCAGACUUUGUCAAAUUACACACAAAAAAUUCCAGCAUAACAAUGGAUCUUCGCAUCUUCAUAGCGAGCUGUUUGAAAACAACAUCAGUGGACCGAUGAUUUUUUUUGGAAAGAACACAAUGUCAGGAUCUUUGACAUAAUAGAAUUUUGCUGGAGUUUGAGGCUAUACUAUUGAUGAGGUAUCCUGGAGAGCUGCAAGUUGCUUUUCUUGUUUUGAAUCAUGUUCUUGUUGUUUUCUCCUUGCUGAGAGUGUAUUAUGUGCGUAGUGUACUCAUCAUGAUCUCUGAAGCUAUGCUUACAGUUGCAUCAUUGUUUUCUUGAAAAUUGACCCUCUAAAUUCAUGUUCUCUUAUAACCGAUCCUGUAAAAUCUUCCUUGUAUUUUAAUGAAGUUUCACACCAUGCCCUUUGAGAUAACAAGUGGGACAUUACAAGGCUUA
Molecule: RNA transcript, 3647 nt
Organism: Triticum aestivum (bread wheat)
Lineage: Eukaryota; Viridiplantae; Streptophyta; Magnoliopsida; Poales; Poaceae
Exons: 4
Source: RefSeq, a predicted model, not a curated record